Molecule: ribosomal RNA, 446 nt
Filed under: uncultured bacterium
Lineage: Bacteria
Description: partial 16S ribosomal RNA
Rfam family: Bacterial small subunit ribosomal RNA
Source: RNAcentral
CCUACGGGAGGCAGCAGUCGAGAAUCAUUCACAAUGGGGGAAACCCUGAUGGUGCGACGCCGCGUGGGGGAAUGAAGGUCUUCGGAUUGUAAACCCCUGUCAUGUGGGAGCAAAUUAAAAAGAUAGUACCACAAGAGGAAGAGACGGCUAACUCUGUGCCAGCAGCCGCGGUAAUACAGAGGUCUCAAGCGGUGUUCGGAAUCACUGGGCGUAAAGCGUGCGUAGGCUGUUUUGUAAGUCGUGUGUGAAAGGAGCGGGCCCAACCCGCGGACGGCACAUGAUACUGCGAGACUAGAGUAAGGGAGGGGGAAGCGGAAUUCUCGGUGUAGCAGUGAAAUGCGUAGAUAUCGAGAGGAACACUCGUGGCGAAGGCGGGUUCCUGGACAUUAACUGACGCUGAGGCACGAAGGCCAGGGGAGCGAAAGGGAUUAGAUACCCGUGUAGUC